RNAcentral lists this ribosomal RNA (773 nucleotides) under uncultured bacterium. RNAcentral describes it as "bacterial SSU rRNA". It matches the Rfam family "Bacterial small subunit ribosomal RNA", at positions 8 to 798 of the family's 1533-position model. The record is from RNAcentral.
AGAGUUUGAUCAUGGCUCAGAUUGAACGCUGGCGGCAUGCCUAACACAUGCAAGUCGAACGGUAACAGGCCUUCGGGCGCUGACGAGUGGCGGACGGGUGCGUAACGCGUGGGAAUCUGCCCAAUAGUGGGGGAUAACCCGGGGAAACUCGGGCUAAUACCGCAUACUCCCCAUGGGGGAAAGCGGGGGACCGCAAGGCCUCGCGCUAUUGGAUGAGCCCGCGUCCGAUUAGCUAGUUGGUGGGGUGAUGGCCUACCAAGGCGACGACGGGUAGCCGGCCUGAGAGGGUGUCCGGCCACACUGGGACUGAGAUACGGCCCAGACUCCUACGGGAGGCAGCAGUGGGGAAUAUUGCACAAUGGGCGCAAGCCUGAUGCAGCGACGCCGCGUGAGGGAUGACGGCCUUCGGGUUGUAAACCUCUUUCAGUAGGGACGAAGCGAAAGUGACGGUACCUACAGAAGAAGGACCGGCCAACUACGUGCCAGCAGCCGCGGUAAUACGUAGGGUCCGAGCGUUGUCCGGAAUUACUGGGCGUAAAGAGCUCGUAGGUGGUUUGUCGCGUUGUUCGUGAAAACUCACAGCUUAACUGUGGGCGUGCGGGCGAUACGGGCAGACUAGAGUACUGCAGGGGAGACUGGAAUUCCUGGUGUAGCGGUGGAAUGCGCAGAUAUCAGGAGGAACACCGGUGGCGAAGGCGGGUCUCUGGGCAGUAACUGACGCUGAGGAGCGAAAGCGUGGGGAGCGAACAGGAUUAGAUACCCUGGUAGUCCAA